This 2190-nucleotide long non-coding RNA is filed under the name Mus pahari (shrew mouse). RNAcentral's name for it is "lncRNA (MGP_PahariEiJ_G0004421.1)". The record is from RNAcentral. Lineage: Eukaryota; Metazoa; Chordata; Mammalia; Rodentia; Muridae.
ACUGAAGUAGAAACUCUUGUCACCAAAGCUGGAUUCUGCCGGCUUUAAUUUUCCUGUCUUCCCUGGGGAGAGGGGACACAUUGAUUGUCUUGGAGGGAUCAGUUUUAUUCCAGAAGCUUCCUUCCAGAUCAUUAAUUCUGGCGGAACACACUUAACUUGCCAUCUUCCAGUAGAGUCCUUCUGGUGAGAAAUGGGGGAACAGAACCCUGUGUGCCGAUUAUAGAAUUUUCAUGUUGACAUUGUAGGAGGUCUUUAAGUCACUUCCGGAAUUACCUCAAGAGGUCAGAAGAAGGCGUGGGUCCCACCAAACUUGAAUUAUUGAAAAUGGUAAGCUGCCACAUGGAUACUGGAAAUCAAACCUGGAAAUCAAACCAGAGCCCUCUGAAAAAGCUACAAGUUUUUUUUUUACUGCUCAGCCAUCCCGAAGCUUCCCAAAAUUCCAGAUGAACAUAAAUACUGUAUUUCCAUUGAUAUAUUAUCACGACACUGGUCUAUGAAGUUUCAGGAAAAUGACAAUCAUAACUUUCAUCCGGAGAGCAUCCUUGCAUGUCUCAAGUCAUGAACAAGACCUUUGAGCUUCUGCAACUACAUCUUCCUGGUACAGUGUUACCAACUUGCAGGCAGCUCAAUCUUCACAAGGGAGUCUUCUCCAGGAGCACAUAAGAAUUCAUCUCACGGUGUCAUCCACUCAAGGGCACAAGCUUCCAAGUUUCCUUGGGAUUCCAUUGCUGCAAAGAGACACCAUAACCACCGCACAACUCUUAUAAAAGAAAGCAUUGAAUUGAGGCUGGCUUACAGUUCGGAGGUUCAGUCCUGUUGUCAUCAUGUGGGGAAAGCAUGGCAGCAUACAGGCAGACAUGGAGCUGGGGAGUAGCUGAGUAUUCUACAUCUGGAACAGCAGGCAACAGGGACAGUAAGAGGUGUCAAGAUGGUACUCAAGUGUAAGAAAUGGGAGAGGAGGAAAAAGAGCCCUUCACAUGUGUCAAGAGAGUAUUCAAGGGGAGAAGAAAAUUAUUGGGGGUCCUUACCCUAGGAGUCUGCUUUCAUCAAGGAAGAAACUCCUCUUCUAAGCCACUUCUAGCUGCUGCAGUGCUGCGACUUGACCUGUCUGCUAACGUCACAAGGAGAGACUGCACAAGAAGUAUGUGAAUGGAAUGAGAGGUUUGUUAAUUCCUGCAAGUUGAUCACUCUGUGGUGGACACCUGCAUCAAUGAACCAUCUUGUGCCCUGUCUAUAUAUAGUCUGUCCCUGGCAUUUGAUGGCAGACUUGACUUCUGGUUGACAUGCAGAUAUGAUACCCUGGUAGGAGAAAUUAUAUCUUUAAACUUUGAAUUCUGAGCAUCUGCCAAUGUGUAGUUGUCAAAUUUGGGUGCUGAACUUUGACCUUCCCUGUCCCCUCAGGCCAGAGUGUUACAGAGCUUUUAAGCCUGAAAACCACAGACAUCUGUGCUAAGCUGUAGUUACAUUUUUCUACCAGUCAGGAUUCAGGGCUAGGGGCCUUCUCUGGGCCCAUUUCUCUGUGUGGCACAUUUAUUCUGUUCUCAUUGGUUGGUUGAUUCCACUGUAGAGGGGUGACUUACCUUAGCAUUCCUGUGUCUGCCAAGGAGGAUGUCAGUUAUAGCAGGGAGAUCUUGGGAACUUAAAUUUUAUUUGACCCCUAUUCAAAACGGAAGUUUUAUUCAAAAUGGCUUCAGCUUGGUUCCUUCUUACACAGUAUCACACGGUAAGGACGAGCGUCUGCUCCUAGUGUAUCAGUCAUGUGAACAGAGGCAAAAGAAGCUGAUACAGUAGACAUGGCUUCCAUCUUGAGGUGGUUUCACCAUUUUUCAAUUAUCUGAUGGCGUGAAGGUUGCGCUGUAUUUUUACCACAGCAAACAGAUGCCAAUGAUGAACGCAGAGACUUAUUAAGUAAAAAGCUUCUUGUGUAGUAUCCAAUAAUGUAAUGAGGUAGUCAACGUUUUUAUGUUCUAAAAUAGCCUUUGUGUUAGCGGUCACAGCCCAACCUCAGGCUUCUUUAAGUUGUGUGCACAUGAGAUAUGAUGUUUGAUAGCUUAGGUAUGUUUAAUAUGUCUUUGAUUUAGGAAGUAUUCUACUUGUGAUGGAUGUUCCAGGACAUAGCCAUUGUAUGUAAGUUGUGAGACAGGUAUAUGCAACUGCUAUCUGCCAAUUAAAUAAAAGUAAAACAAAACC